RNAcentral lists this ribosomal RNA (467 nucleotides) under uncultured bacterium. RNAcentral's name for it is "partial 16S ribosomal RNA". It matches the Rfam family "Bacterial small subunit ribosomal RNA", at positions 29 to 507 of the family's 1533-position model. The record is from RNAcentral.
ACGAACGCUGGCGGCGUGCUUAACACCUGCCAGUCGAACGGAAAGGCCCUGCUUUUGUGGGGUGCUCGAGUGGCGAACGGGUGAGUAACACGUGAGUAACCUGCCCUUGACUUUGGGAUAACUUCAGGAAACUGGGGCUAAUACCGGCUAGGAGCUCCUGCUGCAUGGUGGGGGUUGGAAAGUUUCGGCGGUUGGGGAUGGACUCGCGGCUUAUCAGCUUGUUGGUGGGGUAGUGGCUUACCAAGGCUUUGACGGGUAGCCGGCCUGAGAGGGUGACCGGCCACAUUGGGACUGAGAUACGGCCCAGACUCCUACGGGAGGCAGCAGUGGGGAAUAUUGCACAAUGGGCGGAAGCCUGAUGCAGCAACGCCGCGUGCGGGAUGACGGCCUUCGGGUUGUAAACCGCUUUCGCCUGUGACGAAGCGUGAGUGACGGUAAUGGGUAAAGAAGCACCGGCUAACUACGUG